UCCGAGUUGACCCCGGCAGUCUCCUGCGAGUCCCCGCCAUUACGCGCUGGCAACACAGGACAAGGGUUGCGCUCGUUGCGGGACUUAACCCAACAUCUCACGACACGAGCUGACGACAGCCAUGCACCACCUAUCGCAGGCCCCGAAGGACACCGUAUCUCUACGGCUUUUCCUGCGUAGUUCAACCCAGGUAAGGUUCUUCGCGUUGCGUCGAAUUAAACCACAUGCUCCGCUGCUUGUGCGGGCCCCCGUCAAUUCCUUUGAGUUUCAACCUUGCGGUCGUACUUCCCAGGUGGGAUACUUAAUGCUUUCGCUCAGACACACACUGUGUAUCGCGUAUGUCGAGUAUCCAUCGUUUACGGCUAGGACUAC
This 372-nucleotide unclassified non-coding RNA is filed under the name uncultured bacterium. RNAcentral's name for it is "contains 16S-23S intergenic spacer region". The record is from RNAcentral.